CUCCGGUUGGAUGCAUGUCCUUCCGGGAAAGAUUCUAUCGGUAUGGGAUGGGGUCGCGUCCUAUCAGCUUGAUGGCGGGGUAACGGCCCACCAUGGCUUCGACGGGUAGCCGGCCUGAGAGGGCGACCGGCCACAUUGGGACUGAGAUACGGCCCAGACUCCUACGGGAGGCAGCAGUGGGGAAUAUUGCACAAUGGGCGCAAGCCUGAUGCAGCGACGCCGCGUGCGGGAUGGAGGCCUUCGGGUUGUAAACCGCUUUUGAUCGGGAGCAAGCCCUUCGGGGUGAGUGUACCUUUCGAAUAAGCACCGGCUAACUACGUGCCAGCAGCCGCGGUAAUACGUAGGGUGCAAGCGUUAUCCGGAAUUAUUGGGCGUAAAGGGCUCGUAGGCGGUUCGUCGCGUCCGGUGUGAAAGCCCAUCGCUUAACGGUGGGUCUGCGCCGGGUACGGGCGGG
Molecule: ribosomal RNA, 454 nt
Filed under: uncultured Bifidobacterium sp.
Lineage: Bacteria; Bacillati; Actinomycetota; Actinomycetes; Bifidobacteriales; Bifidobacteriaceae
Description: bacterial SSU rRNA
Rfam family: Bacterial small subunit ribosomal RNA
Source: RNAcentral